AAGAGAAAUUCCUGUUUAUUAAUAAUGAAACUUCUUCUUUUCAAAAAAAAAAAAAAAAAAUCUCCCGUUCUCUAUUUUAUUUUUUCAUCUCCCGCUCUCUAUUUAUUUAUUUUUCUGCUUUCUUCCUGAGAGAAGAUGGAUUUGGUUAUGGUGUACGAUUCACUUGGAGAUUCAUACAUUAUCCCAGAAGAUAAGAUAGUCAAAGGUUUAGAUUUUAGUAAAUUUGCUGAUUGCCGUCACAAGUUUGAUGAAGAGGAGACGAUGAAAAACAUAGAUGUCGAUCUAUUCUUCGAAUGUAGUCGGUUAUUUGAGGAAGCAUACUCAAAGAGGGAAGCACUUGCAGGAAAGACGGGAGACAAGGAAUCUAUAGCAGAAGAGAAGAAACGUAAGUCGGCUGAUGAGAAGAAUUUACCAAAUAAAGAGACUUCUACAACUGAUACGAAGAAGAUUAAGAUGAAGGAAUGAAUGCAAUGGAAAGAAGCUUAUUUUAUCUAGGGUUUAUAAUUCCUUUAAAGAGAAAGUAGAUCUAUUGUGAUGCUGCUUAAUUUCCUUAACUCUGAUAUUUAAUUUCUGUAAUUUCCUUUUAACUCUGAUGUGAAUGAACGUCCUUAUAAAUUUCUAAUUCUUGUCUCAAUGUGUAAUUUCUAGUAAGUUUUUUUCGAGGAAUCGUCUCCAAAAUCCAAACUUUUAGGUUUUGCUUUGCAUACAUACUACUUUCCAUUCAACCUAGUGCGUCAAUUCACAGGACUCAAUUCUUUGUUACGCAAUCGUUAGCAGUUGAUGGACACCCUAUUUUUUUUUUUUUUGAAGCAUAAUUCUUUUGUUGUUGUUGUCUUGUAUAGUCAGAGAUAGGAGAAAAAUUGAUUCCGUAUGAUUGCUACGGUAUCCAGAAUUUAAAUUGGUUGUCGCAUGAUGCAGGUUACAGAUUCUAGGAAGUUUAUUAGUGGUGAGUUAAUGUAUCCACUGAAGGAAACAUUUCUACCGUGAAGGAAAUGAAUUCUUACUUCAUUUCAAACCCUUAAUCAAAUUCCAGACUGCUUCUGAUUUUCUAAAGUUACAGUUGAUGGUCUCAUAAGCGUAUUCCACUCAGUCCAUAUACGUACAAGGAAUACCAAGUUCAGCUAUUUUCCACAGUACAUUCAUCUAGAGUGCACAAAUUGUAAGAGUUGCAACAAUCAUCUCAUAAUUUGGUCAUUAAGUAUGUAGAAAUCAGUAUAUAUGCACACAAAAAAGCGAUGAAGGUGAGCCAUUAAGUACUGCUGUUGGCAUUUAAAUCAUAAUCAUUUCAUGAUGUCCGUCCGUGUUUUAUCAAUUUUCCCAGAGAACCCAACUAUCAAUUCAUAUUCGCCAUAUCGGUUUUUGUGUUUGUCGAUUUCCUGUCCGUGCCAUUUCUAAAUGUCGCCUAAGAUAAUACCAUUAUUGCAUGUCUCACAUGGAUAUAGAUGAUCAACUAUAUGUGGUUGUGUUUGAUGGUUGAUGCAGACGUAGUGGGCAUUCUAGCAUCUCUACCAAGUCUGCACUAAAUGAAUCGAGUCAAUAGUCAACAAUGCAUGAUGCGUGACUUUCCAGAACCUCAGGUUUCACUAAAUUAAAAGCUCCAUGUAAUCCAUAUUGGAUUGUUGGUUAUUAUUAACAGGACGUUUCUGCUUUCUUGACUCAGAGUUGUCCUCACAAGGUAGAAUACUAGCCUUAGAUGUUACAAAAAUUCAGGGAAAGGGUAAGAAUGCAUUUGACAAGACAUCCAUUAAUUUUGAUUCAGGUAUUUAGUUGUUAAACAUCUCUAUAUAUCCCAUUACACAUUUAAGUGCAAUUUCCUCUUUUAUAAAAUCCCAAAGUUGCUUUAAUUGCGGUGUUAUAGGUCUGUCGUAAUGGAUAUGUUUCUUUCUUUUUCAUGAUUCUUAGUAGACAAAAGAAUGCAAUUGAAGAGCAUGUGGUUUCACAUAUCGGUAAACCCAUCUUCCUGGCUUAUAAAUUUCUUUUGCAAGAAGUAUACUUAGCACUUGAGAUUAUAACAAAACCCACCCAUACAUGUUAAAAUGCUCUUAGUCUUGCAUUUAAGGAUCAAGGCAUCAGUAUUGGCUCUUUGUGGUUGUUAACUAUGAACCAGUGAUGAUUGAUGAUAAAGCGGCUUUUUGUGUUUAGCGAUAUGGAGUUCAACCAAGCUUCAGGGAAGAGUAACCAUAGUUACUACGGUGGUUACUACGGCUACGGUCAGUCGAGGUUGGCUCCAGUUACAACAUGGGAGACGGACUACCAGGUGAUACAGGAUAAGUACAGGAAGAGUGGAUACAUGAAAGUUCCUGAGAUUGUGUUUUGGAACCUUCGAGACUCUAGCUCAACUCCAGUGUUGGGUCAGCAAAAGGGCGUGGCUUUGGUUAGCGGGUUCUCGAAGAAUUUGUUGAAACUUUUCCUUGAAGGUUCGGAUUUAAGUGAAUUUACACCAAUUAGAGUGAUGGAGAAGGCAAUCGCUGGUGAGGGAUACAACAAACUUGUUGUAGUCGACUGAUUGAUUCUUUAUCCUCAGUUCAAGAACCUGACAAGCAUGUCAAUGAUGCAAACUGUGCGCUGAGCGCUAUUUAUUGAAUUUUUCUUAUGUUUUUCUUUUUUAGAUUUUUUAGAUUUAACUUAUACUGACUCGGGCUACAUAUGCUUAACAAUUGAGUGACAGUCUAAUAAUAUACUAGUUUUUUAUUUUUAUGCAA
Molecule: long non-coding RNA, 2702 nt
Organism: Papaver somniferum (opium poppy)
Lineage: Eukaryota; Viridiplantae; Streptophyta; Magnoliopsida; Ranunculales; Papaveraceae
Exons: 2
Source: RefSeq, a predicted model, not a curated record